GGAUUUCAGCCGAGGAGGUGAGAUGAAAUAUGAAUGUCCACCAGGUCGGUCUAGCGCGGAAAAACCACACUUACCAAUCCUAGAUGGACGGAACUUAAAACCCCUGUUUCGGUAUAGCGCGGGAAAACCACACUGACCAAGACAGAGGUUUAUACUUAAAUAAAAACGGUUAGGUAUAGCGCGGAAAAACCACACUGACCCAAUUAAACUGUAUGCGAGUUUGAGGAGAGAUUACACAACCACACUGGAAAGCGGGCAGCUUCUGAAAAAAAAAACACAGAUAAGCAAAAAGAGACAAAGAAAAACAAAAUAACAAGAACACUCUGGUAAUUGGUCUAGCUUGUAAAAACAGUUAACCCGUCAGAUUAAGAACAUAUAGAAUAUAUAUCCGAAAAUCGAUUAAAAGUAAAAAAAUAAAAAGAUAAAAUAAGACAGUCACAAAAAUUUAUCUAUUUAACUAUUUGAAUUACUUCUGGUUUAAGGAAUGAAAGUAAUGACAAUGUGGAAGUGCCAAAGAGCACCGUUUUA
Molecule: long non-coding RNA, 528 nt
Filed under: Mytilus galloprovincialis (Mediterranean mussel)
Lineage: Eukaryota; Metazoa; Mollusca; Bivalvia; Mytilida; Mytilidae
Source: RNAcentral